UACGAAGGGGGCUAGCGUUGCUCGGAAUUACUGGGCGUAAAGGGCGCGUAGGCGGUCUUGUUAGUCAGGCGUGAAAUUCCUGGGCUUAACCUGGGGGCUGCGCUUGAUACGGCGGGACUUGAGGAUGGAAGAGGCUCGUGGAAUUCCCAGUGUAGAGGUGAAAUUCGUAGAUAUUGGGAAGAACACCGGUGGCGAAGGCGGCGAGCUGGUCCAUUACUGACGCUGAGGCG
RNAcentral lists this ribosomal RNA (230 nucleotides) under uncultured microorganism. RNAcentral describes it as "partial 16S ribosomal RNA". It matches the Rfam family "Bacterial small subunit ribosomal RNA", at positions 524 to 753 of the family's 1533-position model. The record is from RNAcentral.